GAUGAAGCCAGAAAACAGAAGCAAAAAAAACCUUCCUGUCUGCCGACAUUACCGCUUCACCCCUGAGGAGGAAGCCUAUCAGCCCUUUUUUGCUGAAACCCUAUAUGGCGAAAUGAAAAGUGAAGGAAUCCCAUUUCAUGGAAUGAGAGGCCAAUCUUUAAUUGCUUUCCAGGGAAUUUCUGAUGAUCUCAGGUGAGCGCAGAAAACAGCCUGACUAAUGGAAACAUGAUCUCAAGAGAUUCCUUCAGGAUCAUACUUAAUCCUGGUUUGGACUGUGGACAUAGCAUCGCCUGCAGCAGAUGUUUGCUCCUGGCAUGGCUGCAAACUGCAUGAGCUCCAUCACCGACAAUCCAGUUCUCGGGAUGCAUCGCCAGCAGCUUGGACACGGAGAAGCUGUGACACAAACUCAGCAGGACAGUGGAGUGUAUUCUGCUGCUCGGAUAUUAUGGAACAGACCGGUCAACCUCGUCUGGAGAGGCACUCGAUAGGAAAAUCAGCUCUAUGAGGCUACGAUUACCGCGGUUACCACAAUGGAUCUACACAUUGUUUGACUUUUUCUAAAUUGAACCUGGAUUAAUAUUUCCCUGUAUAUACAUCUGCUUUUGAUAUUCAGUGUUUAUUCCCGCUGUUGCUCAUUCCCUGCACUUAUAUACUGUGUUAUUCUGGAUACAGUAUCAACAAAUGCUGGAACAGUAAACGGAAAAUAAUCAGCUGUUAUUUCCUCUUUAGGUCUAUUAUUUUUACAGGAGGAAGGCAGCACUUACACCAAUCUCGUAAGGAGCAAACUAAAUGUUUUCCUGUUGAAUUAAUUAACACACAUAGGAAUUGUCACAGGGAUUACUCAAUUAAUAAACAUUCAACAUCUUCCAAUUAAGAAAAGAUAAUCCUUUAUUAGUCCAGCAGCAGGGAAAUUACAACAAUUGCCUUCACAAUGAAGCCAUUGAACCAAAGGUGCUUAUGAAUACAACUAUUGACAACUCUUUGGGAGUCUUGUUCAUUCUGGUUGAGGAAUCUUUUCCAACUCUUUGAUCUGAUAAAGACGUAUUGCUUCAUCGGACUUGUCUGUGUAACCCUCGAACAGAAAUAAAAAAGAAAAGGUG
Long non-coding RNA from Gasterosteus aculeatus aculeatus (three-spined stickleback), 1100 nucleotides. The record is from Ensembl. NCBI's taxonomy places the organism in Eukaryota, Metazoa, Chordata, Actinopteri, Perciformes, Gasterosteidae.